Molecule: ribosomal RNA, 253 nt
Filed under: uncultured bacterium
Lineage: Bacteria
Description: partial 16S ribosomal RNA
Rfam family: Bacterial small subunit ribosomal RNA
Source: RNAcentral
UACGUAGGGGGCAAGCGUUGUCCGGAUUUAUUGGGUUUAAAGGGUGCGUAGGCGGUCAUGUAAGUCAGUGCUGAAAUAUCCCGGCUUAACCGGGAGGGUGGCAUUGAUACUGUAUGACUUGAGUAAAGUUGAGGUUGGCGGAAUUGACGGUGUAGCGGUGAAAUGCUUAGAUAUCGUCAAGAACACCUAUUGCGAAGGCAGCUAACUAAGCUUUAACUGACGCUGAGGCACGAAAGUGUGGGGAUCAAACAGG